CAUAAUUCCCUCCCGCGUCGUGGAGCUGCUCUCUGGGAUAGAACCCUUGAUUUUGAGUACCUUUUCGUUUCCUCGGCGGGUCCGCCCGCCGGUGGACAACCAAAAACUCUCUGUAAUAGCAGUAUCUUCUGAGAAAAACAAAUAGUCAAAACUUUCAACAACGGAUCUCUUGGUUCUGGCAUCGAUGAAGAACGCAGCGAAAUGCGAUAAGUAGUGUGAAUUGCAGAAUUCAGUGAAUCAUCGAAUCUUUGAACGCACAUUGCGCCCUUCGGUAUUCCGUUGGGCAUGCCUGUUCGAGCGUCAUUUAAACCUUCAAGCAUAGCUUGGUGUUGGGUGCUUGUCCUCCCCCGCGGUGGACUCACCUCAAAUGCAUUGGCGGCCGGUAUGUUGGCUUCGAGCGCAGUACAACGCGCCUGGUGUCUAGACGUGCUGGUCCUCCACAAGACCUUCUUUAAUCUUGACCUCGGAUCAGGUAGGGAUACCCGCUGAACUUAAGCAUAUCAAUAAGCGGAGGAA
RNAcentral lists this ribosomal RNA (516 nucleotides) under Nigrograna sp. Its description in RNAcentral is "eukaryotic LSU rRNA". The stretch from base 150 to 303 matches the Rfam family "5.8S ribosomal RNA". Lineage: Eukaryota; Fungi; Ascomycota; Dothideomycetes; Pleosporales; Nigrogranaceae. The record is from RNAcentral.